AUUGAACGCUGGCGGCAUGCCUUACACAUGCAAGUCGAACGGCAGCACGGGAGCAAUCCUGGUGGCGAGUGGCGAACGGGUGAGUAAAGUAUCGGAACGUGCCCAGUCGUGGGGGAUAACGUAGCGAAAGUUACGCUAAUACCGCAUACGAUCUAUGGAUGAAAGCGGGGGAUCGCAAGACCUCGCGCGAUUGGAGCGGCCGAUAUCAGAUUAGGUAGUUGGUGGGGUAAAGGCUCACCAAGCCGACGAUCUGUAGCGGGUCUGAGAGGACGAGCAGCCACACUGGGACUGAGACACGGCCCAGACUCCUACGGGAGGCAGCAGUGGGGAAUUUUGGACAAUGGGCGAAAGCCCGAUCCAGCCAUGCCGCGUGCAGGAUGAAGGCCUUCGGGUUGUAAACUGCUUUUGUACGGAACGAAAAGGUUUGGCCUAAUAAGCUGAGCUCAUGACGGUACCGUAAGAAUAAGCACCGGCUAACUACGUGCCAGCCGCCGCGGUAA
RNAcentral lists this ribosomal RNA (500 nucleotides) under uncultured bacterium. Its description in RNAcentral is "partial 16S ribosomal RNA". It matches the Rfam family "Bacterial small subunit ribosomal RNA", at positions 29 to 523 of the family's 1533-position model. The record is from RNAcentral.